RNAcentral lists this ribosomal RNA (252 nucleotides) under uncultured bacterium. RNAcentral's name for it is "partial 16S ribosomal RNA". It matches the Rfam family "Bacterial small subunit ribosomal RNA", at positions 524 to 776 of the family's 1533-position model. The record is from RNAcentral.
UACGUAGGCAGCGAGCGUUGUUCGGAAUUACUGGGCGUACAGAGUGCGUAGGCGGUGUUCUAAGUCUGGUGUGAACUCUCCCGGCUCAACUGGGAGGGUGCGCCGGAAGCUAGGAUGCUAGCGGGUGGGAGAGGUAAGCGGAAUUCCUGGUGUAGCGGUGAAAUGCGUAGAUAUCAGGAGGAACACCUGCGGUGUAGACAGCUUACUGGACCACGACUGACGCUGAGACACGAAAGCGUGGGAGCAAACAGG